AGAUUGAACGCUGGCGGCAUGCCUAACACAUGCAAGUCGAACGGGAGUAGCAAUACUCUAGUGGCGGACGGGUGAGGAAUACGUAGGAAUUUGCCCUUAAGUGGGGGAUAACCCGGGGAAACCCGGAUUAAUACCGCAUGACCUCGAAAGAGCAAAGUGGGGGAUCGCAAGACCUCACGCUUUUGGAGAAGCCUACGUCGGAUUAGCUAGUUGGUGAGGUAAUGGCUCACCAAGGCGACGAUCCGUAACUGGUCUGAGAGGAUGAUCAGUCACACCGGAACUGAGACACGGUCCGGACUCCUACGGGAGGCAGCAGUGGGGAAUAUUGGACAAUGGGCGCAAGCCUGAUCCAGCAAUGCCGCGUGUGUGAAGAAGGCCUCGGUUGUAAAGACACUUAAGUUAGGGUAAGAAAAACGUAACGAC
This 423-nucleotide ribosomal RNA is filed under the name uncultured soil bacterium. RNAcentral's name for it is "bacterial SSU rRNA". It matches the Rfam family "Bacterial small subunit ribosomal RNA", at positions 26 to 461 of the family's 1533-position model. The record is from RNAcentral.